RNAcentral lists this ribosomal RNA (421 nucleotides) under uncultured bacterium. Its description in RNAcentral is "partial 16S ribosomal RNA". It matches the Rfam family "Bacterial small subunit ribosomal RNA", at positions 360 to 773 of the family's 1533-position model. The record is from RNAcentral.
AAUAUUGCACAAUGGAGGAAACUCUGAUGCAGCGACGCCGCGAGUGUGAAGAAGGUCUUCGGAUUGUAAAGCACUUUAAGUUGGGAGGAAGGGCAGUAAAUUAAUACCUUGCUGUUUUGACGAUACCGACAGAAUAAGCACCGGCUAACUCUGUGCCAGCAGCCGCGGUAAUACAGAGGGUGCAAGCGUUAAUCGGAAUUACUGGGCGUAAAGCGCGCGUAGGUGGUUCAGUAAGAUGGGUGUGAAAUCCCCGGGCUUAACCUGGGAACUGCUUUCAUAACUGCUGAGCUAGAGUACGGUAGAGGGUGGUGGAAUUUCCUGUGUAGCGGUGAAAUGCGUAGAUAUAGGAAGGAACACCAGUGGCGAAGGCGACCACCUGGGCUAAUACUGACACUGAGGUGCGAAAGCGUGGGGAGCAAAC